RNAcentral lists this ribosomal RNA (124 nucleotides) under Diaphorina citri (Asian citrus psyllid). The record is from RNAcentral. Lineage: Eukaryota; Metazoa; Arthropoda; Insecta; Hemiptera; Psyllidae.
UUCGGUGAUAGCAUAGGUAUUUAAAAUUAAAUAUCAGUUCUCAAUGGAUCACUGAAGUUAAGAAACUUCGCCCGUGAUUGGUAUCCGGAUGGGUGACCAUCAGGAAAGUUGCGUGCUGCCGGCU